Canis lupus familiaris (dog) is the source of this 1125-nucleotide long non-coding RNA. RefSeq lists it as uncharacterized. The transcript is spliced from 3 exons. The record is from RefSeq and is a predicted model, not a curated record. NCBI's taxonomy places the organism in Eukaryota, Metazoa, Chordata, Mammalia, Carnivora, Canidae.
AGAUGAAGAAACUGAGGUGUGACGGGGUUAAGUAAUUUCUCCAGGAUUACACGAAUAAGACAUGAUUUGAUUUGAGUGUGAAGAUGUUUCAAGAAAUCAGAAGAUCACAGACUACUUGUGCAACCAAUGACAACAAUAAACAAUGCUUUGAUUGCUAGAAGAGUUAUUUGAAAAAUUAAUGACCCUGCCAAGAGGUUAGGCAUCACCUGUUCUUCCCAGCCCAGCUAAAAUAAGCCUAUUCCAGUACAGGUCUAGCCUUCUGGCAAAAGGAGAUAUGUCUUCAAAAACCAAGUUGUCUCAUUUCACACCCGGACCAACAAGCAACUGCAGAACUAUCAGGAAUUACAGGUUUCACAACUGGAGGCUCUGACGCAGACAAUUUGGCCCAAAUUUCAACAGAUACACCCGUUUGCUAAAGGAAUGAAGGCUUCAAACCUCACUCACUGUCUCCAGAAUGAAUUAAUAUUUUAUCAAAAUUUGAUACUGUUUCCUUAAAAAAAGAUCUUUCUGUAUUUAACUACUCUAAGAUACAUAGCAAAAUUAGCAAAGCAUUCUGAACAUCCUAGAUUCUCUCAAUUAUAGCCUGUCUACAUAGUUUUGGGAUUAUCAUUGCCCUACUAUACAAUUAUUAUCAUUAUUAAUCACAUUAUUGAGUACAUACAACACACUAAGCACCAUACUAUGUACAUUAUAUGUAUUAUUUAAUUUGACUUCCUAGCCCACUUAAAGCAGGUGCUUUUAUUAUCAUAUAUAAUGUGUGUGUGUGUGUGUGUGUGUGUGUGUGUAAUUUGAGUCGGGUUAUUACUAGCCCUGGUGGUAGACAAAUAUAAAUGGAUAACCCAGGAUUUCUCUUCCCCAUUUCCUAACAAUACCUUGGAAAAUGGGGAUGAUGAGAGUAUCUAUUCACAGGAUGGUAGUGAGCUUUAUAUAAAUGAAUAUAUGACUAUCACAAAUAAAGCUGCCAUACACAUUCAAUUUUUGAGGCUUUGUAUGGAUAUGUUUUCUUUUCUCUUGGGAAAAUGAAUUAGUGGAAUGGCUGGUUCAUAGGGUUAGUAUAUGUUUAACUUUAAAAAAAAAUCUGCCAGAUAGUUUUUCCAAAGUUGACAUACCAUAUUAUAUCCUCAU